UGUAAACAGAUGAAGAAGGAAUGCCAGUAGCUGUUUCUCCGAUCUGUUCUGCCUUGUAGUAAUCUAUUUAUCCGAUCUGUUCUGCCUUUAAGCAGUCUGUGAUGUGAAACCAAAGUGAUCUGAAUACGACACCAUACUGGAAAAAGACUAAUGCCUCCUCUAAGAUGUGUAGUAGGCAGACGUACGCUAUGUCUUAAUCGUCCGUUUCUACAACAGACUGGCUUUUUGUGUCCAACACAUGAAGUUUUGGGUGUCUGUCCUGUUACCCACAUUGCUUGUUGCUAUCCACCUUUAAAUGACCAGUGUGUUUCAGUCCUCAUCAACAACAUUGAAGACAUUUGUGUUUGUAUGGAGUUAAGAGACACUGGAUCACCUGCUGUUGUUUACAUUGCUCACUUUCCAAAUCACACUGAAAAAGAUUAAUGGUUUUAGUGAUUUUCUGGAUAAAACAGUUGAUACUGUUGGUGUGCAAUUUCUAGACAUUCUUUGGUUGAUUGCUUCCUCAUAAUAAAUGAUAAUUAUUCUGACUGGCA
Long non-coding RNA from Stylophora pistillata, 533 nucleotides. RefSeq lists it as uncharacterized. The record is from RefSeq and is a predicted model, not a curated record. NCBI's taxonomy places the organism in Eukaryota, Metazoa, Cnidaria, Anthozoa, Scleractinia, Pocilloporidae.